AGCAUGUAAAUUGCUGUUUAGAGGAGAGCCUGUAAAAUCAAUCCAGCCUUUCUCCCUUCAGAAAUUAAAAGCCAUUUAUUUUUAUUUUUGGCGAAUCCUGGAAAGCACGUGUCCCUCCAGCUCCUCUGCACUGACACCACCCGCGUUGCAUGUUUCCAGGACUUCAAGUAGAGAGUUUCAGGGGUGCAGCAAAGUGAUUCGUUACAUAUGCUGCUGCUGCUGCUGCUGCUGCUAAGUUGCUUCAGUCGGGUCUGACUCUGUGCGACCUCAUAGACUGCAGCCCACCAGGCUCCUCCGCCCAUGGGAUUUUCCAGGGAGUCCAGAUGACACAGUCAAUACAAAUCAGACUCCUGAGACACAAAGCAGGAUGCAGAAGACUGGAGACUGGACCUGGAGGGACACACCAAGAACAUCGAGCAUGUGUCAUAUCACCGUCUGACAUAUUUACCUGUUUGACUCUUUCCCACAAGAAUGAAAGUUUCUUGGGUUUCCCUUGUGGCUCAGUGGUAAAGAAUCCACCUGCCAGUGCUGGAGACACAGGCCCAGCCCUUGAUCUGGGAAGAUCCCACAUGCCCCAGGAUAACUCAGACCGGGCGCCACAACUACUGAGCCUGCGCACUAGAGCCCGAGAGCCACAACUACCAAAGCCACGUGACACCAGAGCCUGUGCUCUUCAAGGAGAGAAACCUCCACGGUGAGAAGCCUGUGCAGCACAAGGAAGAGUGGCCCCCGCUUGCUGCAACUACAGAAGUGUGUGCAGCAACAGAGACCCAGCACGGCCAAAAAUAAAUAAACUGAUUUUUUAAAAAAAGAAUGAAAGCUUCUCGAAAGUUGAGACCGUUGAGCUCAGGGCUGUGUCUCUGACAUCUAUUUUAGUACAUGGUGUAUAGUUGGUGCCAUCUAAUAUCAAAUAUGGUUAAAUGACUAAGUGGGUAAAUGAAUAAAUCAGUUGUUCUUAAGAAGUAUAUUGUCUAGCAUGUAGCAAAAAUAACUCAGAAAUCUUCCAUUUUAAGUAAUAUUUUAUUGAAUUCUUAUCUGAUACUUUGCUAAGAAUUUUACCAGUCUUGCUGCCAAUGAGAGAUGUUUUGGUUUAUAGACAAGAAGAGGGAUAUGCAUAUUUAUAUAAAAUAAAUAUAUGCAUGCAUAUAUUACAUGGGAAUGUGCCUGUGCCUAUAUAUAUAUAUAUAUGAAUGCUAUUUGUGUAGGAAUACAUGUAUAUGUGUGUAUGUGUUCAUUAGUGUGUUUGUGUAUAAAAUUUUUUUGGCCAGAAAGGAGAUAGCUUUCCGUUCAAUGUCUCAUUGGAAGAAUAUUCAUCUUCUGUCCUAGGAAGCAGUGCCAGAGACAGGACAUGGAAAGAGGUGUCAGCGGGAACCUUCCACAGUGCUGACA
Molecule: long non-coding RNA, 1389 nt
Organism: Bos taurus (domestic cattle)
Lineage: Eukaryota; Metazoa; Chordata; Mammalia; Artiodactyla; Bovidae
Source: Ensembl